GGGUUGUGAGGUUAAGCGACUAAGCGUACACGGUGGAUGCCCUGGCAGUCAGAGGCGAUGAAGGACGUGCUAAUCUGCGAUAAGCGUCGGUAAGGUGAUAUGAACCGUUAUAACCGGCGAUUUCCGAAUGGGGAAACCCAGUGUGAUUCGUCACACUAUCAUUAACUGAAUC
This 172-nucleotide ribosomal RNA is filed under the name Escherichia coli. RNAcentral's name for it is "partial 23S ribosomal RNA". It matches the Rfam family "Bacterial large subunit ribosomal RNA", at positions 1 to 164 of the family's 2925-position model. Lineage: Bacteria; Pseudomonadati; Pseudomonadota; Gammaproteobacteria; Enterobacterales; Enterobacteriaceae. The record is from RNAcentral.